AUGAAGCCUUUCGGGGUGGAUUAGUGGCGAACGGGUGAGUAACACGUGGGCAAUCUGCCCUUCACUCUGGGACAAGCCCUGGAAACGGGGUCUAAUACCGGAUAACACUUCCUCCUGCAUGGGAGGGGGUUAAAAGCUCCGGCGGUGAAGGAUGAGCCCGCGGCCUAUCAGCUUGUUGGUGGGGUGAUGGCCUACCAAGGCGACGACGGGUAGCCGGCCUGAGAGGGCGACCGGCCACACUGGGACUGAGACACGGCCCAGACUCCUACGGGAGGCAGCAGUGGGGAAUAUUGCACAAUGGGCGAAAGCCUGAUGCAGCGACGCCGCGUGAGGGAUGACGGCCUUCGGGUUGUAAACCUCUUUCAGCAGGGAAGAAGCGCAAGUGACGGUACCUGCAGAAGAAGCACCGGCUAACUACGUGCCAGCAGCCGCGGUAAUACGUAGGGUGCGAGCGUUGUCCGGAAUUAUUGGGCGUAAAGAGCUCGUAGGCGGCUUGUCACGUCGGUUGUGAAAGCCCGGGGCUUAACCCCGGGUCUGCAGUCGAUACGGGCAGGCUAGAGUGUGGUAGGGGAGAUCGGAAUUCCUGGUGUAGCGGUGAAAUGCGCAGAUAUCAGGAGGAACACCGGUGGCGAAGGCGGAUCUCUGGGCCAUUACUGACGCUGAGGAGCGAAAGCGUGGGGAGCGAACAGGAUUAGAUACCCUGGUAGUCCACGCCGUAAACGUUGGGAACUAGGUGUUGGCGACAUUCCACGUCGUCGGUGCCGCAGCUAACGCAUUAAG
Molecule: ribosomal RNA, 780 nt
Filed under: Pilimelia sp.
Lineage: Bacteria; Bacillati; Actinomycetota; Actinomycetes; Micromonosporales; Micromonosporaceae
Description: bacterial SSU rRNA
Rfam family: Bacterial small subunit ribosomal RNA
Source: RNAcentral